RNAcentral lists this ribosomal RNA (166 nucleotides) under uncultured soil bacterium. RNAcentral describes it as "partial 16S ribosomal RNA". It matches the Rfam family "Bacterial small subunit ribosomal RNA", at positions 329 to 505 of the family's 1533-position model. The record is from RNAcentral.
GCCCAGACUCCUACGGGUGGCAUCAGUGGGGAAUAUUGGACGCAAUGGGCGCAAGCCUGAUCCAGCCACGCCGCGUGAGGGAUGAAGGCCUUCGGGUUGUAAACCUCUUUCAGUAGGGACGAAGCGCAAGUGACGGUACCUACAGAAGAAGCACCGGCCAACUACG